RNAcentral lists this transfer RNA (68 nucleotides) under Marmota monax (woodchuck). RNAcentral's name for it is "tRNA.Ala". Lineage: Eukaryota; Metazoa; Chordata; Mammalia; Rodentia; Sciuridae. The record is from RNAcentral.
GGAUUGUAGCUUAGUGGUAGAGUGCUCACCUAGCACACGUGAGGCACUGGGUUUGAACCUCAGCACCA